Molecule: non-coding RNA, 21 nt
Filed under: Caenorhabditis elegans
Lineage: Eukaryota; Metazoa; Nematoda; Chromadorea; Rhabditida; Rhabditidae
Source: RNAcentral
UCCACGUAUGGUAUUUCAAUU